CUGUUUGUCAAUUGAAAUACACACUGUGCUUCUACGGGUCAACAAUGUGCUAGGUUCUGCCAACACUGCAGGGAAUAAGACACAUGUGGCUGCUGUCUUCAGAGAUGACAAUAUGGCUGUGUGUGUUUGUGUGGGGAGAAGGCACGGGGGGAGAAGGCAUGUCACACAGAGAAGGAGCGAGAAAGAGAGGAGGUGGUGGUGCCAAGUUCCUUUUAACAACCAGCUCUUGCAGGAAUAAACACAGCAGGAACUCAUUACCACUGGGGAAGGCACAAAGCCAUUUAUGAGGGAUCAGCCCCCAUCACCCAAACACCUCCCACCAGGCCCCAUAUCCAACACUGGGGAUCAUAUUUCAACAUGAGAUUUGGAGGGGACAAAUACUCAAACCAUAUUACAAACUUCUUCACUAGAAGAAUUUGGGUAUAUGUAAGUAAGUUUUCAGUAUAUGUGUAAAGUAGAAUAUUAUCAGAAAGGUUAUUUACUUUUCAUCUUCAUUAUCAAUUUUCUAUAGGUAUCAUAAAAAUUUAAAAUGCAUUUUGUUAAUUUAAUCUUUUAUUAUUUCUUAACAGUCACAAUGGAAUAAAUGUGCCUACUUUAAGACAUCUAUCUGGUUUUGUUGGCAGAUUUAAGGACUAACACUAGACUAAAUAUUACACAAAUAUUCUAUUCAAAUGACUUAAAAGUGCUACCCUUUUACUAAAAAUUUUAUCGUACUAAACAUCUUUGAAAUGUGUGUCCCAUAGGAAAUGUGUUUUUUUGAUAACCGUACUUCUAAAAAAAUUCCCACUUUGAGCACUGUCAGAAAACAGAGCAAAUUUAAAGAAAAUUUUGAGAAUAUAAAAUUACAUAAACAUUUCAUUUUACUUUUCCUUUAUCUUAAUCAUAUACCUUUAAAUAAAAAAGCUAUGAAAGACCUAAAUAAAAUUUGAGAAAUCAGAAUAGACAAACAUCAUUAAUGCCCAAAACAUAAUUUAUUUAUUAGAGAUGGGGUCUUGCUAUGUUGCCCAGGCUGGAUUCAAA
This 1020-nucleotide long non-coding RNA is filed under the name Homo sapiens (human). Its description in RNAcentral is "HSALNT0044314". The record is from RNAcentral. Lineage: Eukaryota; Metazoa; Chordata; Mammalia; Primates; Hominidae.